RNAcentral lists this ribosomal RNA (492 nucleotides) under uncultured bacterium. RNAcentral describes it as "partial 16S ribosomal RNA". It matches the Rfam family "Bacterial small subunit ribosomal RNA", at positions 29 to 507 of the family's 1533-position model. The record is from RNAcentral.
AGUGAACGCUGGCGGUAGGCCUAACACAUGCAAGUCGAACGGCAGCACAGUAAGAGCUUGCUCUUACGGGUGGCGAGUGGCGGACGGGUGAGGAAUACAUCGGAAUCUACUUUUUCGUGGGGGAUAACGUAGGGAAACUUACGCUAAUACCGCAUACGACCUACGGGUGAAAGCAGGGGAUCUUCGGACCUUGCGCGAUUGAAUGAGCCGAUGUCGGAUUAGCUAGUUGGCGGGGUAAAGGCCCACCAAGGCGACGAUCCGUAGCUGGUCUGAGAGGAUGAUCAGCAACACUGGAACUGGAACACGGUCCAGAUUCCUACGGGAGGCGGCAGUGGGGAAUAUUGGACAAGGGGCGCAAGCCUGAUCCAGCCAUACCGCGUGGGUGAAGAAGGCCUUCGGGUUGUAAAGCCCUUUUGUUGGGAAAGAAAAGCAGCAGGUUAAUACCCCGCUGUUCUGACGGUACCCAAAGAAUAAGCACCGGCUAACUUCGUG